RNAcentral lists this ribosomal RNA (1811 nucleotides) under human gut metagenome. RNAcentral's name for it is "bacterial LSU rRNA". It matches the Rfam family "Bacterial large subunit ribosomal RNA", at positions 596 to 2423 of the family's 2925-position model. The record is from RNAcentral.
AUGGCGUACUUUUUGUAGAACGGUCCGGCGAGUUACUAAUGCCAGCGAGGUUAAGAUGUCAGAAGCAUCGGAGCCGAAGGGAAACCAAGUCUGAAUAGGGCGUAGAGUUGGUAUUAGUAGACCCGAAACCGGGUGACCUAUCCAUGUCCAGGUUGAAGGAACCGUAAAAGGUUUUGGAGGACCGAACACACAUGUGUUGAAAAACGUGGUGAUGAGGUGUGGAUAGCGGAGAAAUUCCAAUCGAACUCGGAGAUAGCUGGUUCUCCUCGAAAUAGCUUUAGGGCUAGCCUCGAGCUGGAGUCUAACGGAGGUAAAGCACUGAACUGACGCGGGGCCCAAAAAGGUUACCAACUCAUAUCAAACUAAGAAUGCCGUCAAGAUACCCUCGGGAGUCAGUCUGCGUGAGAUAAGUCGCGUGGACAAAAGGGAAAGAGCCCAGACCGACAGCUAAGGUCCCAAAGUACGUGUUAAGUGGAAAAGGAUGUGGGAUUUCAUAGACAACUAGGAUGUUGGCUUAGAAGCAGCCAUACAUUUAAAGAGUGCGUAAUAGCUCACUAGUCGAGAAAACCUGCGCCGAAAAUGUAACGGGGCUAAAACACGACACCGAAGCUACGGAUUUCCUACAAGGUAGGAAGUGGUAGAGGAGCAUCCUGCAAGGACGAAGCCAAAGUGAGAGCGAUGGUGGACGAAACAGGAGAGAGAAUGCCGGAAUGAGUAGCGAGAUACAUGUGAGAAACAUGUAGGCCGAAUAUCUAAGGAUUCCUGGGUAAAGCUAAUCUUCCCAGGGUUAGUCGGGGCCUAAGGCGAGGACGAAAGUCGUAGUCGAUGGAUAACAGGUUGAUAUUCCUGUACUACACAUAAUCAGAACUGUGGGGACGCAGGAGGAUAGGGAAACCGGGGAAUGGAAAGACCCGGUCAAGCGUAAAGCUGUGGGAGAUAGGCAAAUCCGUCUCCUGUAAGUGAAACGUGAUGAGGACUGAAAAAAAGUAAGGAAGUUUCCGAAUCCACACUGCCGAGAAAAGCCGCUAUUGCGUUAUGUGUACCCGUACCGUAAACCGACACAGGUAGAUGAGGAGAAAAUCCACAGGCCGACGGGAGAAGUGUUGUUAAGGAACUCGGCAAAAUGACCCCGUAACUUCGGGAUAAGGGGAGCCUCGCAAGAGGCCGCAGAAAAGAGGCACAAGCAACUGUUUAGCAAAAACAUAGGUCUAUGCGAAACCGUAAGGUGAAGUAUAUGGGCUGACGCCUGCCCGGUGCUGGAAGGUUAAAAGGAGAGGUCAGCGCAAGCGAAGCUUUGAAUUCAAGCCCCAGUAAACGGCGGCCGUAACUAUAACGGUCCUAAGGUAGCGAAAUUCCUUGUCAGGUAAGUUCUGACCCGCACGAAAGGCGUAAUGAUUUGUGCACUGUCUCGACAACACGCCCGGUGAAAUUGAAGAACCAGUGAAGAUACUGGUUACCCGCAACAGGACGGAAAGACCCCAUGGAGCUUUACUGCAGCCUGAUACUGGGAUUCGAUGAUAUAUGUACAGGAUAGGUGGGAGGCUAAGAAGCGAGAACGCUAGUUUUCGUGGAGCCGCCGGUGGGAUACCACUCUUAUGUCAUUGAAUUUCUAACCUGCAUCCGUAAUCCGGGUGAGGGACAAUGUCAGGCGGGCAGUUUGACUGGGGCGGUCGCCUCCUAAAAGGUAACGGAGGCGCUCGAAGGUCACCUCAGAAUGAUUGGAAACCAUUCAAAGAGUGUAAAGGCAAAAGGUGGCUUGACUGCGAGAGCGACGGCUCGAGCAGGUACGAAAGUAGGACUUAGUGAUCCGG